GCAAAUUUUCAUCAUAAAUUGGCGCCAAAAAUACUUCUAUCAUCUCAAUUUUGUGAGGAAAAAAAUAUAAAUUGUGAAGGAUAUUUCUCUCGCUAAUAGCUAUAUUGUCACUAUAUUUUUUUUCUUCACUGUUCCUUCGCUAGAAAACUCUUCAUGUGAAGGAAUAAAUUCCUUCACAAAAUUUCCUUCGCUACAUCCCUAAUUUCUUGUAGUGAUAGACAUCUUGGACAAAAAGAAAAAAAAAUUAUUUUUCGGUGAAUAGUGCCGUAUUCGUGAAUAGUGUCGUAUACGUGAAUAGUAACUCCGACACAAAAAGUUCUAAAUUUGAUAAAAAGUUCAGACCAAUAUUUCGGCAUAAUGAUAUUGAAAGAAAUAAUAUCAUUUACGAAGAAAAUAACAUCCCUUACCUCAAAAUAACAAUAUUUUUGAUCGGAAUAUCGGAUGAAAAGUUGAAGGAAACUUGCACUGAAU
This 471-nucleotide long non-coding RNA is filed under the name Panax ginseng (ginseng). Its description in RNAcentral is "long non-coding RNA (PGIN_LNC005228)". The record is from RNAcentral. Lineage: Eukaryota; Viridiplantae; Streptophyta; Magnoliopsida; Apiales; Araliaceae.